RNAcentral lists this long non-coding RNA (3193 nucleotides) under Mus musculus (house mouse). Its description in RNAcentral is "long non-coding RNA chr7:59318630-59321823". Lineage: Eukaryota; Metazoa; Chordata; Mammalia; Rodentia; Muridae. The record is from RNAcentral.
UCUCUGGAUAUAAAACAUCAGUGAUCCUAAGUACUGAAUCUACUGUACUUAGCUUAUUCAUCUAUUUCAUCUGUACUUUGUUCAUUAUGGUUAAUUACUGUAUGUUCCUAGGCCUACAACUUAACUGUUUUCUUCCUUUCAUUGAUCAUUUUGAAUAGUUACAAGGUAUACUUUUUUUGUCACUCUUAGAAUGUCAAAGCAAAGAAAAGGUAUUAGAAAACAAGUGUUGGAACUUGAAUUACUAUUUCCUAAAUGCUUAAAUUUAAAUUAUACAAUGUUUAGAUUUGUCCCUUAUGCAGUACUUCAAUGAAAAUUGUUUUUAUAUUAGGAAGAAUGUAUAUAAUGCCCUAUGGUUUCUACAAAGAAUACUGAAGAACACACACAAAAGCAAACAACGAGCCAAAAUGUGACAUUACCCUCCGUCCCCCAAAAAAGAGAUGAGUAUUAAUGGCUGUAUUGGAGGAAAUCGCAAGCCAAACAGUAAAAGAUUAAAAAAAGAAAAAAAAGAAAAAAAAGAGACACACAAGGACCAAACUAUAUAAAGCAAACAUUUGUCAGUGAUCAUUUACAUAUACGAGCAAUAAAUUAAAAGAGCAGAAGUAACCAGGAAAACAAAAACAAAAAAACAGGUUGGCAGUAAAAGAUUGAGAAAAAGGGCCCUUCCAUGCAAAUGUAACACAAAGUGAAUUAGGGCAGAGAGCAAGAUAUAUAUCAGGUUUGGGAAAGGGGUAGAGACUUUAAAAAUUAGUACUUAGAGGAAACAAGGAAUAUUAUGUGGGGAUUAGUCAACUGACUAAGGCAACAUAACAGUAUUUACAAAGCUGUAAAUAUCAAAGCUCCAAAAGAAUAUAAUGUAACCAUUAACAAAACUGAAAGAAAAAAAUUGAAGUUCAAGGACUUUUUUGAAUACAUAUGUUUAUGGCCAGCCAAGGCUACAUGAAAACCCUACCUCAACAAAGAGCUUAAAUAACUCCAAGAAGGAAACAUUCACUUUGUGUCAAAUUACUGAUAACCAAGCCCACUAUUUUGAUAUGAGUUUGAGAAUCUACUGUUUCCACUUAAAACGUUUUCUGUAAUUAUAACAGGUAGAGUAUGUCAAGCUGAAACAAAAGUCAGUAGACAAUAGUUCGAAUAAAUAGAAAUAACAGGAAAGGUCAUUAGGUAAUAAUCUGCCUGUACGUGGGGUUUCACCGUUUUUCAUUGAUUCAAGAAAACUUGUAGCAAUUAUAGAUAAGUUGUGUGCAUAAUAUAUGAGUAUAAUUAUGUAUUGGUAUGUGGGAUCAGAGCUAGAAUUGUUGUAUAUAAUAUUAAAAUUAAACUGAUCUCCAGGCUCGAUGAUUUUAAUGUUUUUAUUGUAUGCCAAACAGUAAAUAAACAAAAGUAUUUAUAUAAAAUUGUAUUUUCACUUAAAAAAGAGUAAGUAUAGAUCACCAUUUUUUCUAAAAAUGAACAAAAGGUUUAAGUAUUAUGAAUAUCCUCAAUCUUCACAAAAUGUUUGUAAUCUUCAAUUUUAAAAUUAACUUUCAGGUAUAAGAUAAAGACUAAAAGAGCAAGUAGGUUUUUGGUUCAACCAAAUCAUAGGCAUCUGAUAAAGAUCCAGUGUAUGGAAUAGCUGUGUCACAUGGUAAUUCUGCAGCAAAAACAGUCGAGUCCAACAAUGAACCAAGCAAAAACUUCUAAACGGUUAGAUGCUAAAGCAUACAUAUACUUAGUGGCAUGAACUUGAAAGGAUGCUCUCCUUUACUAUUCCUUAGUUGAGUGCAAAUUACAUCCAAAAUCAGAUGCUUUAUUAUGCCCACUAAAUGGCCUUUCUCUUCAAAGAUGAAAUAUAUUGGUAAGUAUGGAAAAAUAUAGAAUGUUUAUGACUAAUAUGAGUGUAAAAUCAUGCUGAUAUGGAAAGAAGAAGUUGGUGGUUCCUCAGUAAACUAAAGAGAAUCGGUAUGACUUGAUUAUUUGCCUAGCAAGUAUAUCACCAAAUGAACUGAAGUAUUCAAACAAAAGCUUUCCACAUUUUUUUAAAAAUUCUUUUUGUGCUUUUUAAAAAAGGUGUAUUUAUUGUAGUUGUCUCCAGACAUACCAGAAGAGGGCACUGGAUCCUAUUACAGAUGGUUAUGAGCCACCAUGUGGUUGCUGAGAAUUGAACUCAGAACCUCUGGAAGGGCAGUCAGUGCUCUUAACCACUGAUCCAUCUCUCCAGCGCAGAACGGUUGGCACUCUUAACCACUGAGCCAUUUCUCCAGCAGUCUUUCUACCAACUUUUAAAAGCCACACUCUUGAAAAUAGUCACCAUGUAAAGACAUACAAAAUAUCCACCAACUAAUUUAUAAGCAAAACUGUAUAUGUAUGCAGUUUGAUAGCUAGUGAAUGAAUUGGAUAAAUAAGCAUGUAAGUUUUACUAUGGACCCCAAUACCAACUAGGCAUGACAUAAAAACCUUUAUUGAUCAGAAUAGUAUGACCUCUGAAGCAAGACCCUCCUGUGAUUUGAGCUGCAACAGUUUACUCAUAUCACAUAAGAAUAUGUAGCAACUGCCAGAUGGAAUUGGUCUGUGUUCUCUUACACACUACUGGAUGACUACAAGGGGCUUGGUGGCAAUGGAACUUGGGCAUAUUUUAGUGCUGUUUUAGCAUCAGUACCUCUAGGUUUUGAGUGCUUCUCAAAUCUCUGCCUGUAUCAAUAGCCACAGGAUUCUAGUCCAGCAUUGUGCUAGCCAGUGUAGAGUUGGAGUGAGAGAAUUCCCUAGUGUUUCAAAGGCUGUGUUGGUCAUGGGCUCAAAGGUUGUGGCACUCUGUCCAGGGUCUUUGAACAGGCAUUUUCCAAAGGAAGACUGAAAAAACUUGGAAUGAGUAUCUACUUUAGUACACACUAAGUCAUUAUUACAAGGGUCAAAAGAGUGCUCAAAAUCAUUAUAAUAUAGGGGGAAAGAACAAAUAGUUAAUAAGGAAAAACUGGAAAUGUGUGAAGUAUCUGAGCAAUUAGGCGAAUGUAAUAAAAAUAUGUAUCAGAUUACCAAACUGCAAAUUUAACUGAUAUUCAAACAUAAUGAUUGAGGAUUCAAAACAAAUAACACAUGACUGGAAGGUUAAAAGAUUGGAACAAUAGCAACAAAUAUUAGACCUGAAAACAUCAAUUAAAUAACACAUUGGUCAAAAAUAAAAACUCUUACCUAGAUUAUUAGUUAUCUGAAAAUAUAU